GAACGCUGGCGGCGUGCUUACCACAUGCAAGUCGAACGGAAAGGCCCUGCUUUUGUGGGGUGCUCGAGUGGCGAACGGGUGAGUAACACGUGAGUAACCUGCCCUUGACUUUGGGAUAACUUCAGGAAACUGGGGCUAAUACCGGAUAGGAGCUCCUGCUGCAUGGUGGGGGUUGGAAAGUUUCGGCGGUUGGGGAUGGACUCGCGGCUUAUCAGCUUGUUGGUGGGGUAGUGGCUUACCAAGGCUUUGACGGGUAGCCGGCCUGAGAGGGUGACCGGCCACAUUGGGACUGAGAUACGGCCCAGACUCCUACGGGAGGCAGCAGUGGGGAAUAUUGCACAAUGGGCGGAAGCCUGAUGCAGCAACGCCGCGUGCGGGAUGACGGCCUUCGGGUUGUAAACCGCUUUCGCCUGUGACGAAGCGUGAGUGACGGUAAUGGGUAAAGAAGCACCGGCUAACUACGUG
RNAcentral lists this ribosomal RNA (465 nucleotides) under uncultured bacterium. Its description in RNAcentral is "partial 16S ribosomal RNA". It matches the Rfam family "Bacterial small subunit ribosomal RNA", at positions 31 to 507 of the family's 1533-position model. The record is from RNAcentral.